GCGGCCGUGGCGGAAUGGCAGACGCGCUAGGUUGAGGGCCUAGUCGAGGUUUACUCGGUGGAGGUUCAAGUCCUCUCGACCGCACCA
RNAcentral lists this transfer RNA (87 nucleotides) under Viridibacillus arvi. Its description in RNAcentral is "tRNA-Leu". It matches the Rfam family "tRNA". From Rfam's summary of the family: Transfer RNA (tRNA) molecules are approximately 80 nucleotides in length. RNAcentral also lists the same sequence under 10 other names. The record is from RNAcentral. Lineage: Bacteria; Bacillati; Bacillota; Bacilli; Caryophanales; Caryophanaceae.